Dreissena polymorpha is the source of this 931-nucleotide long non-coding RNA. RefSeq lists it as uncharacterized. The transcript has 3 exons. Lineage: Eukaryota; Metazoa; Mollusca; Bivalvia; Myida; Dreissenidae. The record is from RefSeq and is a predicted model, not a curated record.
AGCUAUACCCGGCCUAAUGUGUAUUAAUGUGUAAAGUACAAUGAAUCAGUUAUCAUGAAUGUUAUGAAACAGAAUUUUGUUCAACAGAUUAAUGACCACGACUAUGCUGUCCAGUUUUACACAGCAACACCAGUAUUCGACUCAAAACCGGAUGGAAAACAGAUUCAAGACAUUACUGUAUCACUCGAGAAGAAGUUGAAGUCUAACAGGAUCUGCUGUGUGCCCAAAUGUCACACCACUGGCUAAGGAUUGUUAGAAGGCCAUGGAAAGCCCAGCUAUCAUGCAUUUCCAGCUGAAGAUGAUCCAGUUCAAGCUGUUUGGUUGAAUAAAAUACGAAGAGAUGAAGACAGACAUUUUAAGAUAAGUCACAAUACGGUUGUCUGUUUUCUCCAUUUUGAACGUGACUGUCUUGAUGAAUCUGGAUUUGCUAAGCGGAGGUAUCUAAAACCAGGAGCCAUCCCUACACUAUUCGACUGCUGGAAGGACAAACCACAUCUGUUGAAGCGAAUUUCAAGUGGAACGUGCAAUUAACAAGAUUAAAAGUUUUCACAUAUUUGAUCAGGUCAUUCUGGUUUCUCUGUUUGGGAUAAUUAAUCAAAUUUGGACAGUUUGCUCAUUGCUCACUCUUUUCCAAGACCCAAUUAUACCAUGUCCUGGUGUUUAACAUACAUACCAUUUAUAUGAACAUUUGUUGUUCGUGUACAUCAUACUACAUGUAGGCUAAUGAAAAACCAUUGGCUGUUCAUGUAAUAUUUGUACAUUUUUUGGCUUUGUAUAAAGUUUUUGAUAAUUAUCUUGAUAUAAGCAUUGAUUUAGUUACAGAUUAAUGCUUAAAGAGUACUUAAAGCUACACACCUUGAAAUAAAGUACAUGUUCAUAUAGAUGCAAUUUGAAAGUGUGCAAAAUUUUCAUUAAAUCUAUAGUCUAGUUA